This 459-nucleotide ribosomal RNA is filed under the name uncultured bacterium. RNAcentral's name for it is "partial 16S ribosomal RNA". It matches the Rfam family "Bacterial small subunit ribosomal RNA", at positions 338 to 795 of the family's 1533-position model. The record is from RNAcentral.
CCUACGGGAGGCAGCAGUGAGGAAUAUUGGUCAAUGGCCAGAAGGCUGAACCAGCCAAGCCGCGUGAAGGACGAAGGUGCCAAGCAUUGUAAACUUCUUUUGUCAAGGGACAAAAUCAGGCUCGAGAGCCUGAGCGAGGGUACUUGAAGAAAAAGCAUCGGCUAACUCCGUGCCAGCAGCCGCGGUAAUACGGAGGUUGCGAUCGUUAUCCGGAUUGAUUGGGGUGAAGGGGUGCGGAGGCGGAAUGUUAAGUCAGCGGUAAAAUCCCGGGGCUAAACCCCGGCGAGCCGUUGAAACUGGCUGUCUUGAGAUGUCGAGAGGUAUGCGGAAUGCGGAGUGUAGCGGUGAAAUGCUUAGAGAUUGCGCAGAACUCCGAUUGCGAAGGCAGCAUACCGGCGGCGAUCUGACGCUGAGGCACGAAAGCGUGGGUAUCGAACAGGAUUAGAUACCCGAGUAGUC